AAUUUAGCGACGAGUUUAAAAUAUGUUCCCUAAUGGUAUCUUUUUACGGAUGAGAUUAUUUUCUAGUCCCUAAUUCACAUUUUUAUUGUCCAAAUAAAUUAAAAACUUUUAAUAACUAGUCCCUAUAAAGAAAAAAUUCCCAUCAACUAAAGGCACUAUAGAUAUUUCAGCGGCUUUGCUAAAAUAUUUCAUCAUCUCUCUAAAGAAAUCCCUAAAGACCUAAACCCACUGAGACUGGUCAAAUUACAAUCUCUGUAGACGCAAUCAUUGGAGACGCACGUUGGGUUUCCUGAUUCCAAGCUUCUGCAUCGAUUGCUUCUCAUUAUCUAGUCAUCUUUGAGGGAUAAUGCGUCACUCACUUCUCAUUAUCUGUGGAGGAUCAAGGAUUUGCAAGGUAAAUCUGGUGGUGCUCCAAACUCCAUGAGGUUCUGUCUCAUGGCUUUGCAGUUUUUUCUUUGUUAAGGUAUAAAAUUAUAUAGUUUAUGGUUGUAUAUUUAUAUGCUCUAGAGGACGAAAGGAAAGUUUUAAUGGAUUAGAGGCAUUUUCUUUUCUCUCAUUUUUUUUUUCACUACCUAUCACUUCAUACAUCAGGAGUGUAAAAGAAAUACAUUUGUAAUAAACAUAAAUUUAUUCCACAAGAUGCUCACUCUUGAUCAGUAAACAGUUGGAUGUUGGACAAUAUGGUAGUGGGAAAAUAUGGUUAAAAUUGAAUUCUAUUAAUGAGGGUUUAAUGAGGAUGGGACCAGAGCUAACUGCCAGGAUGAAUUUUACAGAAACAAUAUACUUCUCUUCCAUUCAUUAAUUAGUAUCAUUAUGGACCAUAGGAAAAGGAAGGGUUGGAAGAAGAAAGAAAGGAAGUCUGCUAUUACGUUUUCACUUAAUCAGGAUUACUCUAAUCUUUUUGGUAAUAGAGGGGCUGCUACUUUUUUCUUAUCAUACUGACUUGCUGAUAUUUAUUCAUGUUCAUGUUGUAGUUUGUUAGUAAUUCUGUUGUGUAUUGUUUGAUGGCUUAACUGUCAAGUGAAAAUAUAAACGUUAAGGUUGAUAAUGAUAAUUAGUUAUUUUCUACUGGUAUAGGUUUUGAACACAUGCCUUAAGUA
Molecule: long non-coding RNA, 1100 nt
Organism: Lycium ferocissimum
Lineage: Eukaryota; Viridiplantae; Streptophyta; Magnoliopsida; Solanales; Solanaceae
Exons: 2
Source: RefSeq, a predicted model, not a curated record